Molecule: ribosomal RNA, 599 nt
Filed under: Marinobacter gudaonensis
Lineage: Bacteria; Pseudomonadati; Pseudomonadota; Gammaproteobacteria; Pseudomonadales; Marinobacteraceae
Description: bacterial SSU rRNA
Rfam family: Bacterial small subunit ribosomal RNA
Source: RNAcentral
UGACGAGCGGCGGACGGGUGAGUAAUGCAUAGGAAUCUGCCCAGUAGUGGGGGAUAGCCCGGGGAAACCCGGAUUAAUACCGCAUACGCCCUUUGGGGGAAAGCAGGGGAUCUUCGGACCUUGCGCUAUUGGAUGAGCCUAUGUCGGAUUAGCUAGUUGGUGGGGUAAAGGCCUACCAAGGCGACGAUCCGUAGCUGGUCUGAGAGGAUGAUCAGCCACAUCGGGACUGAGACACGGCCCGAACUCCUACGGGAGGCAGCAGUGGGGAAUAUUGGACAAUGGGGGCAACCCUGAUCCAGCCAUGCCGCGUGUGUGAAGAAGGCUUUCGGGUUGUAAAGCACUUUCAGUGAGGAGGAAAACCUUCUGGUUAAUACCCAUGAGGCUUGACGUUACUCACAGAAGAAGCACCGGCUAACUCCGUGCCAGCAGCCGCGGUAAUACGGAGGGUGCAAGCGUUAAUCGGAAUUACUGGGCGUAAAGCGCGCGUAGGUGGUUUGAUAAGCGAGAUGUGAAAGCCCCGGGCUUAACCUGGGAACGGCAUUUCGAACUGUCAGGCUAGAGUGUGGUAGAGGGUAGUGGAAUUUCCUGUGUAGCGGUGA